RNAcentral lists this ribosomal RNA (289 nucleotides) under uncultured bacterium. RNAcentral's name for it is "partial 16S ribosomal RNA". It matches the Rfam family "Bacterial small subunit ribosomal RNA", at positions 335 to 616 of the family's 1533-position model. The record is from RNAcentral.
ACUCCUACGGGAGGCAGCAGUGGGGAAUAUUGCACAAUGGGCGCAAGCCUGAUGCAGCCAUGCCGCGUGUGGUGAAGAAGGCCUUCGGGUUGAUAAGCACUUUCAGUCGUGAGGAAGUAAGNGUAGUUAAUAGCUGCAUAUUUGACGUUAGCGACAGAAGAAGCACCGGCUAACUCCGUGCCAGCAGCCGCGGUAAUACGGAGGGUGCGAGCGUUAAUCGGAAUUACUGGGCGUAAAGCGCAUGCAGGUGGUUUGUUAAGUCAGAUGUGAAAGCCCGGGGCUCAACCUG